UACAGAGGGUGCGAGCGUUAAUCGGAAUUACUGGGCGUAAAGCGUGCGUAGACGGUAGCGUAAGUCAGAUGUGAAAGCCCGGGCUCAACCUGGGAAUUGCAUUUGGAAGACUGGCUCUGCUCGGGGUGCGGAAGGAGGGAAGCGGAAUUUCCGGUGUAGCGGUGAAAUGCGUAGAUAUCGGAAGGAACACCAGUGGCGGAAAGCGGCUUCCUGGUCCGAACACCGACGUCGAGGCACGAA
This 240-nucleotide ribosomal RNA is filed under the name uncultured bacterium. RNAcentral's name for it is "partial 16S ribosomal RNA". It matches the Rfam family "Bacterial small subunit ribosomal RNA", at positions 524 to 757 of the family's 1533-position model. The record is from RNAcentral.